RNAcentral lists this ribosomal RNA (570 nucleotides) under Klebsiella oxytoca. RNAcentral's name for it is "bacterial SSU rRNA". It matches the Rfam family "Bacterial small subunit ribosomal RNA", at positions 533 to 1102 of the family's 1533-position model. The record is from RNAcentral. Lineage: Bacteria; Pseudomonadati; Pseudomonadota; Gammaproteobacteria; Enterobacterales; Enterobacteriaceae.
UGCAAGCGUUAAUCGGAAUUACUGGGCGUAAAGCGCACGCAGGCGGUCUGUCAAGUCGGAUGUGAAAUCCCCGGGCUCAACCUGGGAACUGCAUUCGAAACUGGCAGGCUGGAGUCUUGUAGAGGGGGGUAGAAUUCCAGGUGUAGCGGUGAAAUGCGUAGAGAUCUGGAGGAAUACCGGUGGCGAAGGCGGCCCCCUGGACAAAGACUGACGCUCAGGUGCGAAAGCGUGGGGAGCAAACAGGAUUAGAUACCCUGGUAGUCCACGCUGUAAACGAUGUCGACUUGGAGGUUGUUCCCUUGAGGAGUGGCUUCCGGAGCUAACGCGUUAAGUCGACCGCCUGGGGAGUACGGCCGCAAGGUUAAAACUCAAAUGAAUUGACGGGGGCCCGCACAAGCGGUGGAGCAUGUGGUUUAAUUCGAUGCAACGCGAAGAACCUUACCUACUCUUGACAUCCAGAGAACUUAGCAGAGAUGCUUUGGUGCCUUCGGGAACUCUGAGACAGGUGCUGCAUGGCUGUCGUCAGCUCGUGUUGUGAAAUGUUGGGUUAAGUCCCGCAACGAGCGCAAC